GUUUGCACUCGGUGUGUGUUUGGUAUAGGUUUUGUUUGUUUCUUUCUGCAGGUCCGCUAACCCCAGCUUAUCUUUUGUUUCACAGGUUGUCAUUCACUGUGUCACGGGAAUUGUAAAUAAAUGGGCUUUCAUUUUAACUUACCACCUGUCCUCACCGUGCUUUUUUUUACUUUGUUAAACC
Melanotaenia boesemani (Boeseman's rainbowfish) is the source of this 181-nucleotide long non-coding RNA. RefSeq lists it as uncharacterized. The transcript has 3 exons. The record is from RefSeq and is a predicted model, not a curated record. NCBI's taxonomy places the organism in Eukaryota, Metazoa, Chordata, Actinopteri, Atheriniformes, Melanotaeniidae.